CAGCCGCCGCGGUAAUACGAAGGGUGCAAGCGUUAAUCGGAAUUACUGGGCGUAAAGCGUGCGUAGGCGGUUUGUUAAGUCUGUUGUGAAAUCCCCGGGCUCAACCUGGGAAUGGCAGUGGAUACUGGCUCGCUAGAGUGUGUCAGAGGAUGGUGGAAUUCCCGGUGUAGCGGUGAAAUGCGUAGAGAUCGGGAGGAACAUCAGUGGCGAAGGCGGCCAUCUGGGACAACACUGACGCUGAGGCACGAAAGCGUGGGGAGCAAACAGGAUUAGAUACCCCAGUAGUCCCUGUCUCUUAUAC
Molecule: ribosomal RNA, 301 nt
Filed under: uncultured bacterium
Lineage: Bacteria
Description: partial 16S ribosomal RNA
Rfam family: Bacterial small subunit ribosomal RNA
Source: RNAcentral